This is a long non-coding RNA of Alexandromys fortis (reed vole), 2679 nucleotides long. RefSeq lists it as uncharacterized. The record is from RefSeq and is a predicted model, not a curated record. The transcript is spliced from 3 exons. Lineage: Eukaryota; Metazoa; Chordata; Mammalia; Rodentia; Cricetidae.
CCUAGCUCUACCCUUUCCUCUCUUCUCUUUUCAGAGAGGUGAUGGCUACGUGGAUACAGAAAGCAAGUUUCGGAAACUGGUAGCCGCCAUCAAAGCUGCCCUGGCUCAGUGCCAGUGAGACCUGGAGGCAGGGUCCUGAGACCUCCUGGCAGCCGCCUUAUGACAGGAAGGACUGAAAUGUCUCAAAGACCUGUGGUCCUUCCUCGAUGCUCCUGCGGCCACCAAGUCAGGCCAGAGAUCGCCUCUGUGAGGGGGUGUGCCUCCCCAGAAUCCACGUGUGCACACACCCUGCCUUGCCCUUCUGCCCCCUUCCUCACCUCUCCCUGAAUUCCUCGGUGUCUUCCACCUACCCUUUUGCCUUGGUUUCCCUUCUGCAGCUCAGCUGCCAAAUGUUCCCAGUUGAAUAAAAGCUGGAUGAGGCAACUCAAGGCAGAAGCAGUUUAUUUGGGUGACAGUUCAUCCUGGCAGGGAAGCCGACAUAGCAGGAGCUUGAAGAGGCUGGCCACAUUGAUUCUGCUGUUGGGAAGCAGAGAUGGGGCGGGGAAUCGGCUCAGCAGGUGAAGGCCCUUCCUGCCAAGACUGAUAGCUGAGUUCCUUCCUUGCGGCCCACAUGGUGGGAGGAGAGAACCAGCUGCGGCUUAUCCUCUGUCCUCCACUGCCUGCUUUGGCAAGUUCUCUGGAGAGUGCACGCCUGCACGAGCACACAGACAGUUUGCAGACAACAGGCUGGCCUUGAACUUUCUACGUUGCAAAGGACAACCCCUUGAAGUCGAAUCCUGCCUCCACCUCCUGGAUGCUCAGACUUCACGGGCUUCUGCCACUGUUUCCCCCACCCCCAGUAUGUCAUUAAUGUUGAUAGCUACACGAUACCUCAUCAGAGAGAUACCUGCUGCGUUUCGUCUACCAUUCACCUGUUGUGUCUAAACACCCAUGCACAGUUCUUUUGCUGUGGACCAAGGCCUUGAAUUGCUGGGUCUGUAGUCCCAUCCUCCCAUGGCAAAGGUCACAUGAGGACACUUGUAGAAUUUACUUCCUUCUGAAUUGAGGAACUUGGUCCUUCAGCUCAGAAAGGGCAAGGGACUGGAAAAGUUUAAUUUUGUGUCCAAACACGGUCUCCUUAGUACCCAAGCAAAAAGCUACUUGUCGUGGUGUGGUCUUGUACCUCUAACCUGGAGCUGGAGAGGUGAAGAUCUCUGGGGCCAACAAGUACAGCUGAAUCACCCAGUCCACGUUCUGAUGGUCUCAAAAAGCAAGGCAGAGAGCUGGCAAGAUGGCUCAGUGUGUAAAGGUGACUGCUGCCAAGCCUGAAGACAUGAACGCCAUCCCAAGAGCCCAUAUGGUGAAGGAUGAACUUUAGGCCAGCCAUUCUGGACUCCUUGAGAACACACAGUGGUGGAGGCACACACCUUCAUUUCCAGGAACGUGAGGCAGAGGCAGGGGGAUCUCUGAGUUGGAGGCCAGCCUGGCCUACAGAGUAAGUUCCAGGACAGUCAGGGCUCUGCAGAAAAACCCUGUCUCCAAAAGCAAAAACAAAGAUAGACUAAAACCUGAGCCCUCAGUGCCCACUUGUGGCCAUGCCUGGGAACUGCUCCUCAGCUGUUGGCACCAUGGAGCUGAGCAACCAGUCUUUCCCACCGUCUCUGAGUUGCCUGUUCCAGAAGGCCAAGCAAUGGGAAUCAUGCAGUCUAUAGUCUUUUCAGACUUCAGGCAACAGACCUGUAGUCUAUCUACCCUGGUGCCUACCCUAAGUUCAAAGCUGGUAUGGAGUCACAGGCUAAAACUGUCUCGACAUAGUAAAAUGUAUUGGGGAAUCUAGCCAUGCAGAAUACCUCCGUUGGGAAGCAUUCGUCUAGAUUUUUUUUUUCUUUUGGUACAGGGUUACUCUGUAGCUUUGGAGCCUGUCCUGGAACUAGCUCUUGUAGACCAGGAUGGCCUUGAACUCACAGAGAUCUGCACGCCCCUACCUCCCGAGUGCUGGGAUUAGCCACCACCACCUGGUUUAACCAUUUUUUUUUUACAUUUUUAUUUUUUUAAACAAUUUUUAAAAAAUUUUAUAUACUAAUCUCAGUUCCUUCUCCCUCCCCUCCUCCCACACCCUCUCCCCACUCCACUCCACUCCCCAUCCACUCCCAGAAAGGGUGAACCUCUCAUGGGGAUUCAGAGUCUGUCACAUCACUGGAGGCAGGAGCAAGGCCCUCUCCCCGCAUCUAGGCUGAGCAAGGUAUCCCUCCACGGGGAAUGGGAUCCAAAAAGCCAGUUUUUACACUAGGGAUAAAUACUGGUUCCAUUGCUGGUGGCCUCACAAACUGCCCCAGCCACAUAACUAUCACACUCAUUGAUAGGGCUUUAGUUCUAACUUUUUUUUUUAAUUUAAAAUUUGCUUUAUGGGCUGGGUGGUGGUGGUGCAUGCCUUUAAUCCCAGCAUUUGGGAGGCAGAGGCAAGUAGAUCUCUGUGAGUUCAAGGCCAACCUGGUCUACAAGAGUUAGUUCCAGGUUGCUACGCAAAGAAACCCUGUUUUGGGGCUGGAGAGAUGGCUCAGAGGUUAAGAGCAUUGCCUGCUCUUCCAAAGGUCCUGAGUUCAAUUCCCAGCAACCACAUGGUGGCUUACAACCAUCUGUAAUGAGGUCCGGUGCCCUCUUCUGGCCUUCAGGCAUAGACACAGACAGAAUAUUGUAUAC